UAUGAGAGUUGCAAUUCAAAAUGGAUUGCUUUUAAUUCAACAGGUUUGGAAGUGGCCCUAAAUCAGAAGCUGUUUGGUCAACAUGUUGCCUCCAGAGUCGUCCAGAAAGCUGUAACGGGUUUCAUGAACGAUAAAAACCCUAWAAAGCCCCUGGUGCUCUCUCUACAUGGCUGGASUGGCACAGGGAAGAACUUAGUCAGCCAGUUGAUAGCUGAAAACAUCUACAAGAAGGGCAUGGCCAGCARKUUYRUCCAUCWGUUUGUGACUUCUACUCACUUCCCUCAUCUGAGUCAGCUUGAGAACUACAAGGUAAAACAAGUAUUUUGUUAUAUUGUAAUCCCCAGUAACCGUGGCAGGGAAAUUCUCAAUGGAGAAUUAGGCUGUAAAAAAAAAAA
This is a non-coding RNA of Salvelinus sp. IW2-2015, 395 nucleotides long. NCBI's taxonomy places the organism in Eukaryota, Metazoa, Chordata, Actinopteri, Salmoniformes, Salmonidae. The record is from RefSeq and is a predicted model, not a curated record.